CACAGACCUUAAUCCCUGAUAAUCUCUGCAUCCACUGACAGCCAGCAGUCAUGGCUGCUCCGAAAGAGAAUUUACUGUGUCUUGGACAUCUGACCGGCACUGAGAGAAACACUUUCACCAAGCAAAGAGAGCACAGUCUAAAACAGAGUGUUCACAGGCCAAUGCUGUUCCAAACAAACUUUUCAACUCCUCAGAGUCGCCAACAGCUGUAAGCACACAACAACAACAACAACAACAACAACAUCAACAAAAAUAAAACAAGCUUAUUGCACUGUGCAUCAUUGUGUCUGUUAGUGUUAAUAUUUUUAGUCUCCAACUCCAUGUGUGUGUUCCGUGCAGCAGAGUGAUGCACCUGCAGCAGCGCUGGCAGGAGCUGAAGGAGAGAGAGCGCACAGCUCAGCAACACAACCAGCAGCUUCUGCAGCAGUUUGACAGAGCCCAGGACACACUGAGGGAGAUGCUGGCCCGCAAUGCUGCCAUGAAAACGAUCCGGAUGGAGUAUGGCAGGUACCUGGAGGAGAGCGAUCCCGGCUGGCAUCAGCAAAUCAAAGAGAAAACACAGGCCGCACAGAGGAAGGUCUGGACAAUAAUCAAUAUACAGCUGUCUUGCAUUUUUUUAGCUCCUUUUAAAUCAUCAAGUUGUUCAAAUGUGAGACAUUGAGAUGGUUAUGAAACUGGAUCAGUAUGAAAAAAUAAACUUGUUCUUCUCAACAGCGGAUGGAGGUAUAUUUGAGGUCAUGUCUACAGAAUUUAGAAGAACUGAGCAAGUCCUCUCCAGAAAGACUUUUACUUUCACAGGGUUUGUUCUCUUCCUCACUCACUUUAAAAAAUGAUCUUGUCACAUUGAUUCUUCUCUGUCUUUUUGGGGAAAUCCUAUUUUUCAUUAUCUAGUU
RNAcentral lists this long non-coding RNA (893 nucleotides) under Scophthalmus maximus (turbot). RNAcentral describes it as "lncRNA (ENSSMAG00000032955.1)". Lineage: Eukaryota; Metazoa; Chordata; Actinopteri; Pleuronectiformes; Scophthalmidae. The record is from RNAcentral.